GCUCAGGACGAACGCUGGSGGCGUGCUUAACACAUGCAAGUCGAGCGGUAAGGCCCUUCGGGGUACACGAGCGGCGAACGGGUGAGUAACACGUGGGUGAUCUGCCCUGCACUCUGGGAUAAGCCUGGGAAACUGGGUCUAAUACCGGAUAUGACCUCUGGUUGCAUGACCGGGGGUGGAAAGAUUUAUCGGUGCAGGAUGGGCCCGCGGCCUAUCAGCUUGUUGGUGGGGUAAUGGCCUACCAAGGCGACGACGGGUAGCCGGCCUGAGAGGGCGACCGGCCACACUGGGACUGAGACACGGCCCAGACUCCUACGGGAGGCAGCAGUGGGGAAUAUUGCACAAUGGGCGGAAGCCUGAUGCAGCGACGCCGCGUGAGGGAUGACGGCCUUCGGGUUGUAAACCUCUUUCGACAGGGACGAAGCGCAAGUGACGGUACCUGUAGAAGAAGCACCGGCCAACUACGUGCCAGCAGCCGCGGUAAUACGUAGGGUGCGAGCGUUGUCCGGAAUUACUGGGCGUAAAGAGCUUGUAGGCGGCUUGUCGCGUCGAUCGUGAAAACUUGGGGCUCAACCCCAAGCUUGCGGUCGAUACGGGCAGGCUUGAGUACUGCAGGGGAGACUGGAAUUCCUGGUGUAGCGGUGAAAUGCGCAGAUAUCAGGAGGAACACCGGUGGCGAAGGCGGGUCUCUGGGCAGUAACUGACGCUGAGAAGCGAAAGCGUGGGUAGCGAACAGGAUUAGAUACCCUGGUAGUCCACGCCGUAAACGGUGGGCGCUAGGUGUGGGUUUCCUUCCACGGGAUCCGUGCCGUAGCUAACGCAUUAAGCGCCCCGCCUGGGGAGUACGGCCGCAAGGCUAAAACUCAAAGGAAUUGACGGGGGCCCGCACAAGCGGCGGAGCAUGUGGAUUAAUUCGAUGCAACGCGAAGAACCUUACCUGGGUUUGACAUACACCGGAAACCUGCAGAGAUGUAGGCCCCCUUGUGGUCGGUGUACAGGUGGUGCAUGGCUGUCGUCAGCUCGUGUCGUGAGAUGUUGGGUUAAGUCCCGCAACGAGCGCAACCCUUGUCCUGUGUUGCCAGCAAGUGAUGUUGGGGACUCGCAGGAGACUGCCGGGGUCAACUCGGAGGAAGGUGGGGACGACGUCAAGUCAUCAUGCCCCUUAUGUCCAGGGCUUCACACAUGCUACAAUGGCCGGUACAGAGGGCUGCGAUACCGUGAGGUGGAGCGAAUCCCUUAAAGCCGGUCUCAGUUCGGAUCGGGGUCUGCAACUCGACCCCGUGAAGUUGGAGUCGCUAGUAAUCGCAGAUCAGCAACGCUGCGGUGAAUACGUUCCCGGGCCUUGUACACACCGC
RNAcentral lists this ribosomal RNA (1355 nucleotides) under Nocardia puris. RNAcentral's name for it is "bacterial SSU rRNA". Lineage: Bacteria; Bacillati; Actinomycetota; Actinomycetes; Mycobacteriales; Nocardiaceae. The record is from RNAcentral.